Non-coding RNA from Saimiri boliviensis boliviensis (Bolivian squirrel monkey), 536 nucleotides. The record is from RefSeq and is a predicted model, not a curated record. NCBI's taxonomy places the organism in Eukaryota, Metazoa, Chordata, Mammalia, Primates, Cebidae.
AUAGGCCAAAUACUGUGUUGGUAAGCUUGAAAGCCUGCCCUGAAUCCUCAUCUAUUGAUGGAGAUGGUGUCAUCCUACCAUGAUUGUAUCCAGAAGUUUCAUCCCCAGGAUAAAUGAUGGACACCUCUCAGAUGACCAGCUUCUUUUGCUCGACUCUAGGGAAGGUUGCUCCUUGCAUCCUGGCAACUGCCCUCUGUCUACAUGAUUAGACUCGUUGGUUGCAGUGCUUUCUGGAGUAAUGAAGGGAUCUAGGGCACAGGGCUUAACCCACUGGGCACAAUCUCUAAGCCAACUUUGCCUGAAUGGGUCCCCUGGUUUUUUUCUUCUGCUCUUGUUGAACUGUGUCUCUAUUCCUCACGCUCCUGGGAAUUUCUUGCUCUGGUCAUGAGAAAAAAAAAAAGGAAACUCUCUCAAGGACUAACAAUCAGAGCUGCCUGGUUGACAAGGGACGUUAUAGUUGCAAGAAGACCCUGAAGCAAGGAUUCUACAUCAAAGAUUCAGGGCAAUCUGAGUUUGCAUUUAAGAUCCUUCUGCCU